This 68-nucleotide transfer RNA is filed under the name Panulirus argus (Caribbean spiny lobster). RNAcentral's name for it is "tRNA-Ile". The record is from RNAcentral. Lineage: Eukaryota; Metazoa; Arthropoda; Malacostraca; Decapoda; Palinuridae.
AAUAUGAUGCCUGAUAAAAAGGUUUGCUUUGAUAGAGCAAGUAAUGUAAUUUAAUAAUACUCAUAUUA